This 160-nucleotide ribosomal RNA is filed under the name uncultured bacterium. RNAcentral describes it as "partial 16S ribosomal RNA". It matches the Rfam family "Bacterial small subunit ribosomal RNA", at positions 1340 to 1500 of the family's 1533-position model. The record is from RNAcentral.
AAUGGCAGGUCAGCAUACUGCCGUGAAUACGUUCCCGGGCCCUUGUACACACCGCCCGUCACACCAUGAGAGUUGGAGAUACCCGAAGCCUGUGAGCUAACAAACGAGGCAGCAGUCGAAGGUAGAAUCAAUGAUUGGGGUGAAGUCGUAACAAGGUACC